AUUGAACGCUAGCGGGAUGCUUUACACAUGCAAGUCGAACGGCAGCGCGGACUUCGGUCUGGCGGCGAGUGGCGAACGGGUGAGUAAUGUAUCGGAACGUGUCCAGUAGCGGGGGAUAACUACGCGAAAGCGUAGCUAAUACCGCAUACGCCCUACGGGGGAAAGCAGGGGAUCGUAAGACCUUGCACUAUUGGAGCGGCCGAUAUCGGAUUAGCUAGUUGGUGAGGUAACGGCUCACCAAGGCGACGAUCCGUAGCUGGUUUGAGAGGACGACCAGCCACACUGGGACUGAGACACGGCCCAGACUCCUACGGGAGGCAGCAGUGGGGAAUUUUGGACAAUGGGGGCAACCCUGAUCCAGCCAUCCCGCGUGUGCGAUGAAGGCCUUCGGGUUGUAAAGCACUUUUGGCAGGAAAGAAACGUCGCGGGCUAAUACCCCGUGGAACUGACGGUACCUGCAGAAUAAGCACCGGCUAACUACGUG
This 484-nucleotide ribosomal RNA is filed under the name uncultured bacterium. RNAcentral's name for it is "partial 16S ribosomal RNA". It matches the Rfam family "Bacterial small subunit ribosomal RNA", at positions 30 to 507 of the family's 1533-position model. The record is from RNAcentral.